GUUAUAUGGUCAAGUGAAGAAGCGCAUACGGUGGAUGCCUUGGCAGUCAGAGGCGAUGAAAGACGUGGUAGCCUGCGAAAAGCUUCGGGGAGUCGGCAAACAGACUUUGAUCCGGAGAUGUCUGAAUGGGGGAACCCAGCCAUCAUAAGAUGGUUAUCUUGUACUGAAUACAUAGGUGCAAGAGGCGAACCAGGGGAACUGAAACAUCUAAGUACCCUGAGGAAAAGAAAUCAACCGAGAUUCCCUUAGUAGUGGCGAGCGAACGGGGAC
This 270-nucleotide ribosomal RNA is filed under the name Mesorhizobium sp. RNAcentral describes it as "partial 23S ribosomal RNA". It matches the Rfam family "Bacterial large subunit ribosomal RNA", at positions 1 to 264 of the family's 2925-position model. The record is from RNAcentral. Lineage: Bacteria; Pseudomonadati; Pseudomonadota; Alphaproteobacteria; Hyphomicrobiales; Phyllobacteriaceae.